ACGAAAAGGAGUGUUAUCUUAAGCCAAUGAAAUUCUAAUCCUGUAUUAUAUGAAAAAAUGAAGAAAGCUAUCCAAUUCUUGGGUAGAAACUAUUUUUUCGGACGGGAUUCGUAUGUUCAUUUCGCAUGAUAACUCUAGCUAUAGCCUUUUUUGGCGUAGUUUCGCGGAUUCCU
This 173-nucleotide non-coding RNA is filed under the name Listeria innocua. RNAcentral describes it as "Listeria sRNA rli53". It matches the Rfam family "Listeria sRNA rli53". The record is from RNAcentral. Lineage: Bacteria; Bacillati; Bacillota; Bacilli; Caryophanales; Listeriaceae.